Chelonia mydas (Green sea turtle) is the source of this 3434-nucleotide non-coding RNA. NCBI's taxonomy places the organism in Eukaryota, Metazoa, Chordata, Testudines, Cheloniidae. The record is from the annotation of a RefSeq genome assembly.
UCCACACAGGGGGAUGUACCCCACUGCCUUCAUAGGUGAGAACAGAGCACAACACUCCUGGCUCCCAGUCCCCCUGCUCUAAGUCACUAGACCCCACAGCCCUCCCAGAGCUGAGGAGAGAACCCAGGAGUCCUGGCUUCCAGCCCCCACUGCUCUACCCACUUGUCCCAGCUCCCCUCCCAGAGCUGGGGAUAGAACCCAGGAGUCCUGGCUUCCAGCACCACUCCCAUUCUAACCACCAGACCCCACUGCCCUCCCAGAGUUGGGGAGAGAACCCAGGAGUCCUGCUCCCCUCUCUACAAAGUUUUCUUCCCUAAAGGUGCUCACUCUGAUAGGGUUAAAACACCCCCUGUAUCACCCCAAUAGCAGCCGCUUUCCUCUAAUUUACUCACCAAAUUAUCAGCCAUGGUGGGUUGCAGCCUGGCCCUGGAGACUGGAGGGUUCUGUCCAUGUGUCCCACUGUGGUCUGUGUCAUUUGGAUUGUUCAUCUGAGGUUUCUUUGCCUGUCGGACAUCCCCUCUUCUUCCCCCACAAUGGUCAUCAAAGAUAAUUAUAGGUUGUUAUCUAUCAGUGACGCCCACUCAGGAGCUUUUAGUGUUGAAGCUGGUGAGAAGGUGUGAAAAGUGGAUUGGAUGGGGCGAGUGCUGGCGUGAAAAAACAGCUUUCACUUGUCUCAACUUCCCCUUUUUGGCCCAUAUUGGUUGUUUGUUGGUUUUCACCAGAGAUUCAGUCAUGAAGCCUGCAGAGCGCAGAAAAGAUUGAAGUCUCUGGUGUGUGUGUGUGGGGGUGUCUUUUAGAGAACCUGCCAUGGGGGGCGUGUGUGUGAAAAAACAGACUUUACUGCUGUCCUGGAGCUGGGGAUAGAACCCAGGAGUUCUGGCUCCCAGCCCCCACAUUCUAAGCCACAAGACCCCACUCCUCUCGUAGGUCUGGGGAUAGACUGAUCCUGGAAGGGAAGGAUAGUGAGAUAAUAGGUAUUCAAAUGUUUCCUUGCAGUGCAUCUCUCUGUAUGCAUCACAAGCUCUUCAAGGAGUGAGUGAUCUAGUGGGUUUGUGUGUGUAUGGGGUUGGGAGCCAGGGCUCCUGGGUUCUCUCUAGGAGUCUGGGAAGGAGUGGGGUCUGGUGGAAUAGAGAGGUGAGCAGGCUCACAGCCAGGGCUCCUGGCUCUGUAGAGCCCCCUAUGAGGUUGGAGUCCCACCAUUCUUUGGGUUUAGGAUUCUCAGUUCUUAACAUCCUGACUUGCCUUUCUCUCUGACAGAGCUCCCACAACCCCCCUCUGUGUUCCCUUUGUUCCCCUGUUGUGACGACAUUGCUGGGAGCUCCACUUGUGAGGUGACUGUAGCCUGCCUCGUGACUGGCUAUUUCCCGGAGCCCGUGGACAUCAAGUGGAAUUCUGGCACGGUGACCAAUGGGAUCAAGACCUUCCCAGCCGCGGCACAGAGCAGUGGCAGGGCCUUCACCCUCGUCAGCCAGCUCACCGUCCCUGCCUGGGACCUGGUGAACAACACCUACCAGUGCAGUGUGGAGCACACUCCCUCCCAUAAAAAGAUAGAUGUGGAGAUCACGAAUGUAUGUGAGGCUCUCAUUCAUCCUGAGGUUCGCCUCCUAGGCCCCUCCUGUGAGCGCAACUCUUUGGAGAAGCAGCUGGAGGUGGUUUGCCUCCUCCUGAGAUUCAGCCCCGGUGCAGCCAAAGUGGAAUGGCUGGUGAAUGGUGAGAAGGGGAACCUUCCCACCACGGACUUCUCCAUUUGGAAGGGCACAGAAGGCUUCUAUAUGGGCCAGAGCUGAGUGAACGUCACCAAGGAGAGCUGGGAGAAGGAGGACGUCUACACCUGUAAAGUUACCCUCCCAGCGAGGGGAACGGAGCACUUCAUGCACAACACCAGCAAGUGCUUGGCCUGUCUCAGUAACUCAGUGGCUCCAUCUGUCUAUGUCACCGAGCCGUCCUACGAUGACCUGAUUGGGGAGACAGCCCGUGUGACGUGCUUGGUGCUGGGCUAUAUCUUGGUAGAUGUUCAGGUGGCUUGGGAAGUGGAUGGGAAAGCCAGCUCUGAGGUGGAGACAGGAGCCCCGGAACAAGCCAAUGGGACUCAGAGCAUCACCAGCACCCACAAAAUAACCUUGGAGCAAUGGAAGAGCAGGACCAACUUCACUUGCAAAGUGAAACUUCCUUGUUUUGGAGAAGUCACCCAGGAUAUGCCACUCAUGGACAUGACCUACCCUGCCCAUGAGUCUACUGUCUCAGCCACUGUCUCCUGCCCGGACCCAGAGGAAACUCCAGGGAAGAGAGAUUCCCACACGUUCCUCUGCGACGUCACUGGAUUCUUCCCAGCAGACAUCAGUUUCCGCUGGGAGCACAACGGCUCCAUAGUCCUGCCUCCCAGUACAGCAGUGGCCCCAUCGUCAGAUCUGGCCAGGCCUACUCCACUCAGAGCAUCUUGAGAGUCCCCAGGCCCAAGGGGGAAGGAGAAGCGGGGCCCCAGUAUUUCUGCCUGGUGUGGCACAUGACGCUGAAUGAAACCUUGAAGGUCAAGGUGAAGCCAGGGAAUUGUGGCGGAAACUGUAAUCAACAUCCUCUGGAGGUCUUUCUCCUUCCCCCUUCCCUGGAGGAUCUCUACAUAGGGCAGAACGCCACCAUCAGUUGUUUGGUGAGCAGCAUGGAGACCCCCGGAAGCCUGGAGGUCUCCUGGAACCAGGGUAGCGGGGGCCCAUUGGCCGUGGUCUCCAGGGAGCCGGUGCUGCAGGAAAAUGGCACCUACAGUGCAACCAGCAUCCUGCGGGUGUGCAUGGAGGAGUGGCAGGCAGGGGAGGAGUUCACCUGCACAGUGAAGCACCAAGACAUCCCAUCAGCCAUUGUCAAGACCAUCCACAAGAUUCAUGUGGUCUCUCCCAUAACCCUUCUGUCUACAUCUUCCCUCCUCACGCUGAGGAGCUGGCGCUCCGGGAAUUGGCCACCAUCACCUGCCUGGCCUCCGGCUUCCGGCCCAGAGACAUCUUGGUGACAUGGACCCAGCAGGACCGGCCCGUGCCCCAGGAGGCCUACACCAACAUCGGUCCCGUCCGGGAGGCCGGGAAGGAGGAGCGCUACUUCAUCUACAGCAAGCUCAAUGUCUUGGCAUCUGAAUGGGGAUGGGGGGACACGUACGCCUGCAUGGUGGGGCACGAGGGUCUGCCCAUGACCUUCGUCCAGCGGAGCGUGGACAAAGCCUCCGGUAAACCCAGCGCUGUCAAUGUCUCUGUGAUCUUGUCCGAUACCGACGUCACCUGCUACUGAGGAGCAGAGCCGUGUGGGCUCCUCAUGGCGUAUCUGAGAUGGCCAGGGAACCUCGUGGGGUCUGGGAUUCCUCUUAGCCUGUGUGUAAAGCUGUGGGAGCUCUGGUGUACAGAGCGUGGCUGUGUGUGGAAUAUGCCCAAAUAAAAAUGCAGCAUGCCAGA